Non-coding RNA from Salmo salar (Atlantic salmon), 54 nucleotides. The record is from Rfam. NCBI's taxonomy places the organism in Eukaryota, Metazoa, Chordata, Actinopteri, Salmoniformes, Salmonidae.
AAUGCACCAAUUUGUAAGUCGCUCUCUAUAAGAGCGUCUGCUAAAUGACGUAAA